Molecule: ribosomal RNA, 465 nt
Filed under: uncultured bacterium
Lineage: Bacteria
Description: partial 16S ribosomal RNA
Rfam family: Bacterial small subunit ribosomal RNA
Source: RNAcentral
GACGAACGCUGGCGGCGUGCUUAACACAUGCAAGUCGAACGGAAAGGCCCCUUUGGGGGUACUCGAGUGGCGAACGGGUGAGUAACACGUGAGUAACCUGCCCUUGACUUCGGGAUAACUUCAGGAAACUGGGGCUAAUACCGGAUAGGAAUCCUUGCUGCAUGGUGGGGGUUGGAAAGCUUCGGCGGUUUUGGAUGGACUCGCGACUUAUCAGCUUGUUGGUGGGGUAGUGGCUUACCAAGGCUUUGACGGGUAGCCGGCCUGAGAGGGCGACCGGCCACAUUGGGACUGAGGGACGGCCCAGACUCCUACGGGAGGCAGCAGGGGGGAAUAUUGCACAAGGGGCGGAAGCCGUAUGCAGCAGCGCCGCGUGCGGGAUGACGGCCUUCGGGUUGAAAACCGCUUUCAGCAGGGGAGAAGCUUAUGGUGACGGUACCUGCAGAAGAAGCACCGGCUAACUACGUG